RNAcentral lists this ribosomal RNA (556 nucleotides) under uncultured bacterium. RNAcentral's name for it is "bacterial SSU rRNA". It matches the Rfam family "Bacterial small subunit ribosomal RNA", at positions 355 to 897 of the family's 1533-position model. The record is from RNAcentral.
UGGGGAAUUUUUGGACAAUGGGCGCAAGCCUGAUCCAGCCAUGCCGCGUGUCUGAAGAAGGCCUUCGGGUUGUAAAGGACUUUUGUCAGGGAAGAAAAGGCUGUUGCUAAUAUCGACAGCUGAUGACGGUACCUGAAGAAUAAGCACCGGCUAACUACGUGCCAGCAGCCGCGGUAAUACGUAGGGUGCGAGCGUUAAUCGGAAUUACUGGGCGUAAAGCGAGCGCAGACGGUUACUUAAGCAGGAUGUGAAAUCCCCGGGCUCAACCUGGGAACUGCGUUCUGAACUGGGUGACUAGAGUGUGUCAGAGGGAGGUAGAAUUCCACGUGUAGCAGUGAAAUGCGUAGAGAUGUGGAGGAAUACCGAUGGCGAAGGCAGCCUCCUGGGAUAACACUGACGUUCAUGCUCGAAAGCGUGGGUAGCAAACAGGAUUAGAUACCCUGGUAGUCCACGCCCUAAACGAUGUCAAUUAGCUGUUGGGCAACUUGAUUGCUUAGUUAGCGUAAGCUAACGCGUGAAAAUUGACCGCCCUGGGGAGUAACGGUCGCAAGAUUUA